RNAcentral lists this small RNA (2625 nucleotides) under Pongo abelii (Sumatran orangutan). RNAcentral's name for it is "retained intron". Lineage: Eukaryota; Metazoa; Chordata; Mammalia; Primates; Hominidae. The record is from RNAcentral.
CUGAGGCGGGUGGCAUGGCGGAGAAGGAUGACACCGGAGUUUGACGAAGAGGUGGUUUUUGAGAAUUCUCCACUUUACCAAUACUUACAGGAUCUGGGACACACAGACUUUGAAAUAUGUUCUUCUUUGUCACCAAAAACAGAAAAAUGCACAACAGAGGGACAACAAAAGCCUCCUACAAGAGUCCUACCAAAAUACCUGGGAUAUAGUAAUCACUCAAUGAAUAUAAACUGCACUUACUGGCAUGCUCAAGGAAUGGGCUAUUAAGCAAGGUAUCCUGUUAAAAGUGGCUGAAACCAUCAAAAGUUGGAUUUUUUUUUCUCAGUGCAAUAAGAAAGAUGACUUACUUCACAAGCUGGAUAUUGGAUUCCGACUCGACUCAUUACAUACCAUCCUGCAACAGGAAGUCCUGUUACAAGAGGAUGUGGAGCUGAUUGAGCUACUUGAUCCCAGUAUCCUGUCUGCAGGGCAAUCUCAACAACAGGAAAAUGGACACCUUCCAACACUUUGCUCCCUGGCAACCCCUAAUAUUUGGGAUCUCUCAAUGCUAUUUGCCUUCAUUAGCUUGCUCGUUAUGCUUCCCACUUGGUGGAUUGUGUCUUCCUGGCUGGUAUGGGGAGUGAUUCUAUUUGUGUAUCUGGUCAUAAGAGCUUUGAGAUUAUGGAGGACAGCCAAACUACAAGUGACCCUAAAAAAAUACAGUGUUCAUUUGGAAGAUAUGGCCACAAACAGCCGAGCUUUUACUAACCUCGUGAGAAAAGCUUUACGUCUCAUUCAAGAAACCGAAGUGAUUUCCAGAGGAUUUACACUGGUCAGUGCUGCUUGCCCAUUUAAUAAAGCUGGACAGCAUCCAAGUCAGCAUCUCAUCGGUCUUCGGAAAGCUGUCUACCGAACUCUAAGAGCCAACUUCCAAGCAGCAAGGCUAGCUACCCUAUAUAUGCUGAAAAACUACCCCCUGAACUCUGAGAGUGACAAUGUAACCAACUAUAUCUGUGUGGUGCCUUUUAAAGAGCUGGGCCUUGGACUUAGUGAAGAGCAGAUUUCAGAAGAGGAAGCACAUAACUUUACAGAUGGCUUCAGCCUGCCUGCAUUGAAGGUUUUGUUCCAACUCUGGGUGGCACAGAGUUCAGAGUUCUUCAGACGGUUAGCCCUAUUACUUUCUACAACCAAUUCACCUCCUGGGCCCUUACUUACUCCAGCACUUCUGCCUCAUCGUAUCUUAUCUGAUGUGACUCAAGGUCUACCUCAUGCUCAUUCUGCCUGUUUGGAAGAGCUUAAGCGCAGCUAUGAGUUCUAUAGAUACUUUGAAACUCAGCACCAGUCAGUACCGCAGUGUUUAUCCAAAACUCAACAGAAGUCAAGAGAACUGAAUAAUGUUCACACAGCAGUGCGUAGCUUGCAGCUCCAUCUGAAAGCAUUACUGAAUGAGGUAAUAAUUCUUGAAGAUGAACUCGAAAAGCUUGUUUGUACUAAAGAAACACAAGAACUAGUGUCAGAGGCUUAUCCCAUCCUAGAACAGAAAUUAAAGUUGAUUCAGCCCCACGUUCAAGCAAGCAACAAUUGCUGGGAAGAGGCCAUUUCUCAGGUCGACAAACUGCUACGAAGAAAUACAGAUAAAAAAGGCAAGCCUGAAAUAGCGUGUGAAAACCCACAUUGUACAGUAGUACCUUUGAAGCAGCCUACUCUACACAUUGCAGACAAAGAUCCAAUCCCAGAGGAGCAGGAAUUAGAAGCUUAUGUAGAUGAUAUAGAUAUUGAUAGUGAUUUCAGAAAGGAUGAUUUUUAUUACUUGUCUCAAGAAGACAAAGAGAGACAGAAGCUUGAGCAUGAAGAAUCCAAGAGGGUGCUCCAAGAAUUAAAAUCUGUGCUGGGAUUUAAAGCUUCAGAGGCAGAAAGGCAGAAGUGGAAGCAACUUCUAUUUAGUGAUCAUGGUAAGCACUGACUUUAAAGUAACAGAUUAUUUCAAUGUAGGGGAUUCUUUCUUGAACCAUGAGUGUUAUUUUAGCUGAAGAAUUCUUGGGGUUUAUAAGGGUCCACCAGUAUGGAUAGUACUUUUUCUUCUAGAUGCUAAAUGAAUUUGAUUAAUAAAAGAGUAGGAAUGUAACCACAUUGGAAAUAUGAAGUCAUACUUUUUUAUCAGUUAUUUAAUUUUUUAGUAAAUUUGUUUUAGGAUGGGCAGUGAGUUGAAUAAUUUGGGAUAUUUUAAGUGUUAUUUUCAAAUUUAGUGAAUUUGAGAUUCUCAACUCUGUUGUCCAUAUGUUAAAAUAUUUAAAAAUACCUCAGUGAAGCACAAAAUUAAUAACUGUGUUCACAUUGAAAAAAAUGGCCCAGGCGCAGCGGCACAUGCCUGUAAUAUCAGCACGUUGGGAAGCUGAGGCGGGUGGAUCAUUUGAGGUCAGGAGUUCAAGACCAGCCUGGCCAACAUGGCGAAACCCCGUCUCUACUAAAAAUACAAAAAUUAACCAGGCAUGGUGGCGCGUGCCUGUAGUCCCAGCUACUCGAGAGGCUGAGGCAGGAGAAUCACUUGAACCCGGAAGGCAGAGGUUUCAGUGAGCUGAGACACGCCACUGCACUCCAGCCUGGGCAACAGAGGGAGACUCCAUCUCAAAAAGAAAAAAAAAGAAA